Cynoglossus semilaevis (tongue sole) is the source of this 3374-nucleotide long non-coding RNA. RefSeq lists it as uncharacterized. NCBI's taxonomy places the organism in Eukaryota, Metazoa, Chordata, Actinopteri, Pleuronectiformes, Cynoglossidae. The transcript is spliced from 6 exons. The record is from RefSeq and is a predicted model, not a curated record.
CGAGACUUUCGCAGAGCUUUCUGGUAGGAGGCCAGAGCCCAGGCCAGAGACACAAGGGAGGCUGCUGCAGUCAUGCCUGCAAAAACACACAUAAACAAGCCUGCAGCUUGUAUGUCUGUAUGAUGAUGCACAGCUGCAGCACCAGUUGAGGAGCACUCUCCAGAAAGGUGGCGAGCAAAUGCAGCAUGCUCACAUCUGCAAACUCAUACACCAUCCUCAGGUGGUAACGCCAGCGCUCCGUCUCUCCACUCUGACGACUCCGUAUUCCCAGGUAGAUGGUGUGGAAAUACCUGGGGGAAGUUAUAUGACGCUGUCGCUCCAGGCUCGACGACGCCUGAUGCACAGGCUGGAGACAAAAAGAGGAGACAAGGAGACGGUGGAAGGCUGCAUCGAUCUGCCCUCUCUGUAGAACAGAGCGAAAACGAUGACAUCACACCGCUCCCCUGUCUUUUUCUCCCUCUGUCGGCGAGUGGAGGCUUACAAAAAUUUAAAUAGCCCCCUCUCCCCACCACCCACCACUCCCUCUGACCUGUCAGUGAACAUGGAUACUGUCAGAACCCAGGUGGUGCUGAAGUUCUGCUUUGGACAUAUUUCAGGUCGUAUGUUAACUGUCAUUGUGCUGUAUGUAUCUUAGAUACAAACAUUGAAAACCAUAUUGAUGUGACUAUUCGCAGUGAACAGCGUCGAGCUUGUAACACGAGUAAUAACAGGAAAUUUCCUUGGAACCCAAACGUCUUGUAUAAAUCAUUAAGAUUGAUUUCGCCCAUUUUAAUUUUGAAUAUUCUCUUCGGUUAAUGGUGUUCAAACUAUGGCACAUCCACUACUGUUUGUCCUUGGGCUCCCUCUAGUGGUAUGCGAGGAAACCUGAUUCCUGAUUAGAUUACAUUGCAUUACAAUACAUUUAGCAGACGCCUAUUAGAUGAAUAAACUCUCUUAUAAUAUCUUUUGCCUGCUGGGCGUGUGUGUGUGUGUGUGUAAGAUUUUACACACAGAUGUGUGUAGACCAUGUGUAAGAUUUGUGCAGGAUUUUACAGGAUAGCUGUGUGCUGUAGUAUUUUAAUGUUUUUUAAUUGUCAUUUUUUAAAUUUUGAUUUCUCAAAAAGCCGAAAAGUAGUUAAAAAAGACCAACAAACACUUUCUUAUUGAAUUUUCAAAAAGUUUAUUAAGAUACCAAGAUCUAUUUUAUUGUUUCAGGUGCCCUACUUCCGGUCUCAUACUAUUGGCUCUUCCUGGAUACUGCGCAUGUGCAGAACGGAUCCAGGAAGACGCGAGGAAAUCAAACCCAUGGCGCCGCGAUUCAACGAUUCAAACCAACACCUAAUGUGAGAACGAAACUGCAACGUAGGAUUUAGCCCACGGCUAACAUGUCAGCCCUGAGUGGACUGGUAAUGGAGUGAGAAAUGACAGUCCUCGCUACAGAGAUCUCCUGUUUCUGGACGAGGAUGACGACGAUGAGGAGGAGGAGGAGGUGAAGGCAGUGCGAUGGUGGUUGGCCCUCUCUGGGGAGGAGUGAUACAGUCGGUCACAUUCUGAGCAGAAGCCCUGGAGGCAGGUGAGGCAGUGGGCAGACAUCCUGAAUAUUCCACAAACGGAGCAGUUCUCUGAAACACGAAACCCAUCCUACUGCAGGACCACGGACGGUCCAUCACUCAGAUCAAGUACAGCGGAGAAGGAGACCUUCAGUUUUCCUUCGCUAAAGAUCCAGUGGAACGACUCGUUACCUAAAACAGACACAACAGACUGGCAUACUGCAACAAUGUUAUGACAUGAAAGGUUAUGUUAUCAUGGAACAGCACCGUGUUGUGAAACCAUCAAAAGCAUAAUAAUUAUAAUAUUGUAAUUCAUUGUCUGACUGUUAUUGAACCAAGUAAAUGUGUAAUCAUGACACAGUUGACCCUAGCCUACGCUCAUGAAUUGCUGCCAUGAUACAUGCUACGUUCCCUAACUGGCUCUUCUCAGGGGACACCAAAAAAUGUCUUGACAGGAUCAGCUGACGACAGCUGUCGACUGUGGGACAGCGAGACCCGUGCUUGAAAAGAAAAUGCAUGUGAUAGAAGUUUCUGAAUCCCUGGGGAGUUCCAGCAGCAGUACAGCACUAAAACAACAAUAAAAACACACAACUAGGUGAAACACAAACAUGAGUAGCAGCACACUGUCAUGUUAUGGGAAAUAUAUACGUGUUCUUCUAAUCUGCAGGUUCUUCCAAGCUGCGUACGAAGAGGUGUUUGGCUGGAGUCAAAGGUCAUUUUGUUCCCAUCAACUGUGUGGCUUUCCACCCUGACGGCAAGAGGUAAAUGACACCAACACAGGUUUUGAUUGUUCCAAAAAUAGUUACAUCGAGGGCAGGGUUAGGGUUUCACCUCUCAUCCAAGAGACUCGUUCAGCAGAACUGUUUGGCCAUUGUACUUCCAUUGCGAUCCUUCCAGAAUAAAGAAAAUUGUUGUGUGUGAUUUGCAUUUAUUUACAGAAGUUGAGCAAAAAUGGGAAAAUAUGAAUGGGAUUUCUCAUUGCCUUAUAGGGCGUGCAUUGUCAAAGUCAAGGGUAUGGUAUAGGUUUUUUUUAGGUUUUUUUUUUUAGUUUUUUAUUUUAAGUUUUAGUUUUGUUUAGUUCCAAGCAGUAAGUUAAAAAAAAACAACCACAAUAUUUCACAAUAAUUGAACAAAAACAUUUCAGUCUUUUAAUAGCAAAAACACUUUUACACAUUUACAAAGUCCAUACAUACACAUUUGAAUACAAGUCAAAUUACAACAGUAACUCAAGAUGACCGCUCACAUACUCACAGAAUUCAACAAAGGUCAAAGGUCCCAUCAUCAGGAGUGGAACAGCUUGGUUAAACCUCUUCUUUUGACCUGAAACACAAGAUGAAAUAAAGACAACAUUCAAUACAAAUGCUCUCAGAUGUCUACACCAAGUGUUUAGCACUAGCAUGUUACAAAACACUUCAAUUAACCACUACAAUCUACUAGAAUUUCACAACUACAUGAAACAACAAGUCAAGUAACAAGUAAAAAUACUUUAUUUUGACAAAGUUAAAAACAACUCUCCAUCUAGCACAAACCUGAAUGUCCUCCUCCUCCUUUUUCACUUCUGCAAAGACAAAUAAAGUAAAUGCAAUAACACUAAUACUUGUUCUGGCUGUAGUCAAUCUUGUCUGUACUGGAUUUGUCCAGUUUAAUUUCUCUUCCCUGCUCAUUUAGUGUACUCGCCCCCAGGAGACAGAAAAUAAGAAGACCAACCUUGAUGACAGUAAAUUACUACUCACUGCUACUUUCUCAAAAAUGAUUAAAAAUACACUCAUUUGUCUUAAAAUACUUAACUAUGUCCAUUUUUGUUGUUAAAAUUGAGAAAAAAUAUACCUUUUUGGUACACCAACC